Non-coding RNA from Thamnophis elegans (Western terrestrial garter snake), 535 nucleotides. The record is from the annotation of a RefSeq genome assembly. NCBI's taxonomy places the organism in Eukaryota, Metazoa, Chordata, Lepidosauria, Squamata, Natricidae.
CAUUGCCAACACGUGAGAGGAAACCCAGCAGCUUAUCAUCUCUUCCCAGUUUCUGCAGUAGCAGCACCAGGCUGAGAUGGCCGAUAUACCUCUUCAUUCCUGCCCUCGGUUCCUUGGACUCUGCUUCUACCAUGUCUUCCUUGCCUUCUGGUGCACCUUUGUGGGCAGUGGCUCUGCCGUGACAGUGACCCAGACUCCAAGCUUUCUCACUGGCCCGACUGGGCAGAAAAUAUCCUUCAUUUGCUCUGUGGAUGAUACAAGCUACAGGAUUUUUUUGUAUCACCAAUUGCCUGGGAAAACAGAACUGAAAGCCCUGGGGUACCUCCCUGCUUCUGGUAAAACAUUUGAAGAUAUUCCACCUGAAUUGAAGAAUCGGCUGAAAACACAGGGUUCUAGCCAGAAUUUGGGUUUUGAAUUGUCAAAUCUACAGACAGAUGACGCAGGCUUGUAUCUGUGUGCUGGGGUGUACACAGUGAAAGAGAAAGGAACAGUGGCAGAAACAUGGUUACUGAUAGAUGAAGAGGCUUCGGAAUAA